GACGAACUGUGCAAACGUUAUUCGGAAUCACUGGGCUUGAAGAGUGCGUAGGCGGUUUCGUAAGUAGGGUGUGAAAGCCCUCGGCUCAACCGGGGAAUUGCGUCCUAAACUGCGAGGCUGGAGUGAGGUAGGGGUGUGCGGAACUUCCAGUGGAGCGGUGAAAUGUGUUGAUAUUGGAAGGAACGCCGGUGGCGAAAGCGGCACACUGGACCUUGUCUGACGCUGAGGCACGAAAGCCAGGGGAGCAAACGGGAUUAGAUACCCCGGUAGUCCUGGCCGUAAACGAUGAGUACUAGUGGGGAGGAUCGCAAGGUCUUCCUCACGGAGCGAAAGUUUUAAGUACUCCGCCUGGGGAGUAUGGUCGCAAGGCUG
Molecule: ribosomal RNA, 372 nt
Filed under: uncultured prokaryote
Description: bacterial SSU rRNA
Rfam family: Bacterial small subunit ribosomal RNA
Source: RNAcentral